GGCUGGUCUAAAGGUAGUGAGUAUCUCAUUUGAUUGUUCUAGUGAGUUACAGAUCAAACUCCUUGUUCUUGUCUUUUCCCUCUUCUCACUACGGUGCUUGACUAGUCAAAA
Molecule: Y RNA, 111 nt
Filed under: Carlito syrichta (Philippine tarsier)
Lineage: Eukaryota; Metazoa; Chordata; Mammalia; Primates; Tarsiidae
Description: Y RNA (ENSTSYG00000036279.1)
Rfam family: Y RNA
About the family: Y RNAs are components of the Ro ribonucleoprotein particle (Ro RNP), in association with Ro60 and La proteins. The Y RNAs and Ro60 and La proteins are well conserved, but the function of the Ro RNP is not known.
Source: Rfam by way of RNAcentral